RNAcentral lists this ribosomal RNA (331 nucleotides) under uncultured bacterium. RNAcentral's name for it is "bacterial SSU rRNA". It matches the Rfam family "Bacterial small subunit ribosomal RNA", at positions 28 to 339 of the family's 1533-position model. The record is from RNAcentral.
GAUGAACGCUGGCGGCGUGCUUAACACAUGCAAGUCGGAGCGAAGCAGUGUUGCGGAAUCUUCGGACGAAGGAACACUGACUGAGCGGCGGACGGGUGAGUAACGCGUGGGUGACCUGCCCCAUACCGGGGGAUAACAGCUGGAAACGGCUGCUAAAUACCGCAUAAGCGCACGGAGCUGCAUGGUUCUGUGUGAAAAAACUCCGGUGGUAUGGGAUGGGGCCCGCGUCUGAUUAGGCAGUUGGCGGGGUAACGGCCCACCAAACCGACGAUCAGUAGCCGACCUGAGAGGGCGACCGGCCACAUUGGGACUGAGACACGGCCCAAACUCC